UACGGGGGGGGCAAGCGUUGUUCGGAAUUACUGGGCGUAAAGGGCUCGUAGGUGGCCAACUAAGUCAGAUGUGAAAUCCCCAGGCUUAACCUGGGAACUGCGUCUGAUACUGGAUGGCUUGAAUUCGGGAGAGGGAUGCAGAAUUCCAGGUGUAGCGGUGAAAUGCGUAGAUAUCUGGAGGAAUACCGGUGGCGAAGGCGGCAGCCUGGACCGAGAUUGACACUGAGGAGCGAAAGCUAGGGGAGCAAACGGG
Molecule: ribosomal RNA, 253 nt
Filed under: uncultured bacterium
Lineage: Bacteria
Description: partial 16S ribosomal RNA
Rfam family: Bacterial small subunit ribosomal RNA
Source: RNAcentral